AACGAACGCUAUCGGUAUGCUUAACACAUGCAAGUCGGACGGACUAAUUAGGGCUGGCUCCAUUGAGUUAGUGGCAGACGGGUGAGUAACACGUGGGAAUCUGCCCAUCUGUAAGGAAUAACUUUUAGAAAGAAAAGCUAAUACCGUACAUUCUCUACAGAGGAAAGAUUUAUCGCAGAUGGAUGAGCCCGCGUCAGAUUAGGUAGUUGGUGAGGUAACUGCUCACCAAGCCGACGAUCUGUAGCGGGUCUGAGAGGAUGAUCAGCCACACUGGGACUGAGACACGGCCCAGACUCCUACGGGAGGCAGCAGUGGGGAAUAUUGGACAAUGGACGAAAGCCUGAUCCAGCAAUGCCGAGUGAGUGAUAAAGGCCCUAGGGUUGUAAAGCUCUUUUAGCAAUGAAGAUAAUGACGUUACUUGCAGAAAAAGCCCCGGCUAACUCCGUG
RNAcentral lists this ribosomal RNA (447 nucleotides) under uncultured bacterium. RNAcentral describes it as "partial 16S ribosomal RNA". It matches the Rfam family "Bacterial small subunit ribosomal RNA", at positions 29 to 507 of the family's 1533-position model. The record is from RNAcentral.